This 117-nucleotide small RNA is filed under the name Marmota monax (woodchuck). Lineage: Eukaryota; Metazoa; Chordata; Mammalia; Rodentia; Sciuridae. The record is from RNAcentral.
CCCGGGUGUGGUGGCGCACGCUUGUAAUCCCAGCAGCUCGGGAGGUUGAGACAGGAGAAUCACGAGUUCAAAGCCAGCCUCAACAAAAGUGAGCAAUUCACUGAGAUCCUGUCUCUA